AGCUCCGUGGGGUAAUGGUUUAGCCUAGCGUGGGAUAUCGUCUAUAAAUCGAAGACGCUGGUUCGAAUCCAGCCGGGGCCA
This 81-nucleotide transfer RNA is filed under the name Xylaria castorea. RNAcentral describes it as "tRNA-Tyr". It matches the Rfam family "tRNA". Rfam says of the family: Transfer RNA (tRNA) molecules are approximately 80 nucleotides in length. The record is from RNAcentral. Lineage: Eukaryota; Fungi; Ascomycota; Sordariomycetes; Xylariales; Xylariaceae.